UUGAUUGAUCUGAGAAUUAAUGCAGCAAAAACCCAGUCAGAAUGGGAUGAGGUUUAUAUUGAAAAUAGGAUAGAACCAAGUCAGUCUUUAGCUGAACUUCCUACACAUGCAUAGUUUCAAAGGACAUAUUCUUUUAUGUGGUCUCAAUGGAGUAUUUUCAGAUGGUGUCAGUUAGGUAAAGAUGAUAUGAUUUAGUUCAUUCAAGAACCAAAUUAUUCUUAUAUUGGUGCUCUAUGAUCGAUCAUAAUCAAUAAACAUACAAUAUUCAGUGAUGACAAGUGCAAGCUAUUGCACAGAAUUUGAUUUAAGGGUGUGUUUGGUAUGAUGGAAAACAUUUUCUAGAAAAUGUUUUCCAAUUUUCUCAUGUUUGGUUGGCACAAAAGUUUUGGAAAAUGUUUUCCAAAUCAACUCAUUUUCCUCGAAAUUAAGGAAAAUGACCCUUCAAAUAUUAAGGAAUACAUUUUCCAAAACUCUCCUCCAACUUCAACAAAAGGGUCUUACUGAACUUUUGGGGUUAGACUAUGAAGUUCAAUACAAAAAGGGUGCAGAAAAUAGAGUUGCUGAUGCACUUUAAAGACAACAUGAGAUAUGUAAGGACGAUUCUGACCAAGUCACCGGGAAAUUAUUGACAAUCAGUGUCACAGUUCCUAGGUGGAGGUAGGAGAUAGUUAUGUAGAUGAUGACCUUGCUCAAGAGUUCAUGGUGCAGCUUGCGGUGGACUUAAAUGGUCCUACUAUUUGGCAAUUCACUUCUGGUGUUCUGAGAAAUAAGAGGAAGAUUUAUGUAGGUGGUACUGGAGAUUUAAGGCAAAGGCUGAUCUCUACAUUCCAUGAUUCUCCGAUGGGUUGUCACUCUGGGCAGUUGGGUACUCUAAAGAGGUUGGCUUCACUGUUUAAUUGGCCCAACAUGAAACAAAUGGUGAUGCAACAUGUUGAGAGUUGUGAUGUAUGCCACAGGAAUAAGGAUGAGAAUGUCGCAUACCCAGGGCUACUGCAACCUCUACCAAUUCCUAAUCAGACUUGGAGUCAUAUCAGCAUGAAUUUUAUAGAAGGAUUGCUGAAAUCCAGCUCCAAAGAUGUGAUAUUAGUUGUAGUGGAUAGGCUAUCAAAGUAUGCUCAUUUUGUUGCCUUGUCCCAUCCGUUUACUGCAGCCACUGUAGCUAACAAGUUUUGGAAGAAGGUACACUGCUUACAUGGUACUCCCGAGUCCAUUGUAUCUGAUAGGGACAAAAUUUUUCUCAGCAACUUUUGGCAAUCCUUAUUCAAACUAUUGGGUACUCAACUACACUUAAGCACUGCUUAUCACCCACAAAGUGAUGGUCAGACUGAGAGAGUGAAUAGGUGCAUUGAGAACUAUCUGCGGUGCAUGACAUCGAACAGACCUAUUCAUUGGAGACAGUGGCUUCCUUCCGCUGAAUGGUGGUACAACACGAAUUUUCACAUUGGACUGCAGAGUACUCCAUUUGAGGCUCUUUAUGGUUAUUCAUCACCCCAACUAUCUGUUGGACCCCUGCUUGAGACUGUUGUUCCUGCUGCUGAAGAUGUUGUUAUGCAGCGACAACAAAUGUUACAACUUUUGAAGGACAACCUCCAUAAGGCUCAAGAAAGAAUGAAGGUGUAUGCCGAUAAAAAGCGAUCAGAUAGAGUGUUGCAGGUGGGUGACGUGGUUUACCUUAAACUUCAACCAUACAAUCAGACCUCUCUUGCUUUACGGAAGAAUUUGAAGUUGAGUUCAAAAUACUAUGGUCCCUAUACAGUCUUAGCCAAGGUAGGCAUUGUUGCCUACAAGUUACAGUUACCACCCUCUUUUAGAGUGUAUCCUGUAUUCCACAUGUCCCUCUUGAAGAAGAAGAUAGGAGAUAAGAGGGUAGCUCAAACUGUUCUACCUGCUACUGGUGCAGACGGUCAAUUCUUGGUGAAACCAGUUGCUGUCCUUCAGAGACAAAUGGUGAAGCAUAACAAUAGGGCCAAGGUGAAAGUGCUCAUAACUUGCCUCCUGAAGAUGCUACUUGGGAGGAUUACGAGUUCAUACAAGCACAGUUUCCAGAUUUUAUUCUCAAUCCUUGAGGACAAGGAUGUUGUGCGCUUCAAUCUUGUCAUGAUUAGCUAAUCUCAUAUUCAGUUAUCAAGAGUAACGGUCAUGAUUAGAAGUUAAUAAAUGAAGCGCAAAGGCUAGGAUUGCGCCACGUCGGUAACAUCCACAUCAGCUCAAGUCACAGUUAAAAAGCAACCACCAAGAGAGAGAAGAGACAUUGAUCAAAUUGGUAUUAUUCUCGUGCUCUCUUCUCUCUCUUCUAUCAGAUUCUCUUCUCUUUUCUUCAUCUUCCUAAUCUAAACAUUCCGUUGCAUGAUCGGAGCUCUGUCCAUUUAGGUUUACUAUCUUAGUUUCUAGUGUCUUUUAUUUCCUUCUAGUUCUGUACAAUUUCAUUUGAAUGAAAACAGAAAAUUGUUCCAAAAAGAGAAUCGUUCCGUCGUAGUUACAUUUCGUUGAAUUAUAUUUCCUAUAUUGAGGUCAGAUCGUGAAAAAUCUCUCAAUGGAACUUUUCCACUCUAGCAUCUUCCUUCCAUAUAAAUAGGAUCCCCAAACUUCAAGUACCAAUGGAAGCCCUUGUGCAUGUGUUACCACACUUUCAGAGAGCUCCACAAAGUCUUCUGGAGGGAGGGAGGGGAUUAUUGAAAGCUUGCCAAGAGAAAAACUGUAGACUUUCACUUGACCUCAUAUUUUACAUCACCUGUCAGCAAGUGUUUGUCCCCUGGUGGUAAUGAUAAUUCUACUGCCAGGACCAAACCAAUUCUUCCCUCCCACUAAUGAGUAUAUUUGCUUGAGAUCAACAACGCCGUCAAGGAUUGAUGACAUCAAUUGAAUUCCAUGGUCCACACUGCUGACUUCAACUCUUUUCCUGAGAAGCUUUUCUUGCAAAGCUACCAAACCGCUAUCCCCACUUGAAGCUCGAGAUUCAACAUGAAGAAAGGAGCUACCAUCAAAAUUUGGUUGAAGAUGGCUUUUGCUAAGCUGAAGCCGCCUUGAUGUUUUGUUUGAGUUUGAAUUCUGAAUUACACAGCAUGUUCUGUCCAAGAGACGAUGGAUCAGACUCUUCGCUUUCUUAUUUCUUUACUGGUAGAGAGAGGUUGGACAGAUUUGCACUAUGCUGCUGGUUGAAGAUUCCGCAGCAAGGGCAGUUCAUCCAGUAACAGGUUUUCCAGGAUAUAAGCUACUUGAAACUGACAUGAUUUUUGAUGUUGAUCAAGAAAAUGAAAUCAUUGCGCAUAUGGUCUUUAAACAGUAGGCCUAAGUUCCAUCCUGUACUGUUAUAUUCUCGACUGGUGAUUAAAUAUUACUAUGACUGAGUUUUGUUCUAUGCUUGCUCCUGCCAUUUUUAUGCUUCUUGCUUUCCUUUGAUGUUACUACUGUUACGUAUUCUGGGCUUAAUGAUGUUUUUCUUGUU
RNA transcript from Solanum lycopersicum (tomato), 3445 nucleotides. It is a transcript of the gene named dephospho-CoA kinase, with no coding region annotated. The record is from RefSeq and is a predicted model, not a curated record. NCBI's taxonomy places the organism in Eukaryota, Viridiplantae, Streptophyta, Magnoliopsida, Solanales, Solanaceae.